Molecule: long non-coding RNA, 609 nt
Filed under: Ananas comosus (pineapple)
Lineage: Eukaryota; Viridiplantae; Streptophyta; Magnoliopsida; Poales; Bromeliaceae
Description: long non-coding RNA (ACOM_LNC011324)
Source: RNAcentral
AAAUAAUAAUAAUAAUAAUAAUAAGAGUUGAGCUGGAAUGCUAUAAGUAGCAAACGGUCUCCGUUGCCACUCAUUUGUUUUCAAUAAUGAAACCUCCAAAUCGACGAUCGGCACCGUUGAACAUGAUCUAUACCGUUUGAAGCAUCUAUAAAUCAAAUUUCAUAUUUUUCUGAUAUUGUUCUCUUGUCCAUCAAGUGGACACAAAAUGAACGGCUGAAAAUGAAUAUUCUUUAAAAAAUGAUGAUAGGAAUCUUGUUAUCAAGAUUGAGAGUAUAGAUCUGGUUAUAAAUAGUUUAAAGAAUUUUCUAACCAAAAUUUCAUUGAUUUGGAUAUUUUUACACCGUUAAAUCAAAAAACACUUCAUAUCGACUAUUAAAAUUACAAAUUUUGAAAUCCUUUGAUAAUUAAUUCAAUGAUGUCGAAAAUAUUUAAAAUUUGAUUUCUAGAUACUUCAAGUAGUAUAGAUCAUGUUUAACAGUACUUAUCGAAGAUUUAGAGACCCCAUCAUCAAAACAAAUGGAUAGUAACGGAGCCUGUUUGCUACCGACAGUAUUCUAUCUCAACUCAUAAUAAUAAUAAUAAUAAUAAUAAUAAUAAUCAAGACAUAAC